GGGUAAAUAGCUCAGUGGUAGAGUACAUGCUUAGCAUGCACGAGGUCCUGGGUUCAAUCCCCAGCACCUCCA
Molecule: transfer RNA, 72 nt
Filed under: Camelus bactrianus (Bactrian camel)
Lineage: Eukaryota; Metazoa; Chordata; Mammalia; Artiodactyla; Camelidae
Also listed under: 1 other name
Rfam family: tRNA
About the family: Transfer RNA (tRNA) molecules are approximately 80 nucleotides in length.
Source: Rfam by way of RNAcentral